CAUAAUCAUUUGUCUCUUAAAUAGAGACUAGUAUGAACGGCAAGACGGAACUCUACUGUCUCCUUACCCCACCCUCGAAUUUCACUUCCCCGUGAAGAGGCGGGGAUUACUUCGUCAGACGAGAAGACCCUGUCGAGCUUGUAACAAAGUACAAGAAUCUAAGCCUCUAAUUUAAUCCUCUAACUACCCAAAAACUUAAAGUUAAAUUAGAAAAAGAAAUCUUUACUAGUUUUGGUUGGGGCAACCGCGGAGAAAGCUAAACCUCCGCUACCAUAAUUUAAACAAAGAGAAAUACCUCUAAUACAACUAAAGACAAUAAAUGAUCCACCUAGGUGAUCAAAAGAAAAAGUUACCGCAGGGAUAACAGCGUUAUCUUCUUUGAGAGUCCAUAUUGACAAGAAGGUUUGCGACCUCGAUGUUGGAUCGGGACAUCCCAGAGGUGCAGAAGCUUUUAAGGGUUGGUCUGUUCGAAAA
RNAcentral lists this ribosomal RNA (474 nucleotides) under Araeosoma sp. p ZW-2022. RNAcentral describes it as "partial large subunit ribosomal RNA". It matches the Rfam family "Bacterial large subunit ribosomal RNA", at positions 1960 to 2587 of the family's 2925-position model. The record is from RNAcentral. Lineage: Eukaryota; Metazoa; Echinodermata; Echinoidea; Echinothurioida; Echinothuriidae.